CGGACCCGGGUAUGUCCUUAAACUAUGUCCAAAAGAGAGGUAUGGGCAUUGCGAAUGACAUCUCGCUUUGUGUGGUAGGGCACAGGACAGCGGGUGUCAUUCCAGAUCUAGAGCAGAGCCCAACUGGGGAAGUACCUCCACCUUACAGAAAACCGCAGCCAAAUAACACUAGACCCUACACAUAGUGUUGUGUUCCUGCCGGUGAGUAAGGUUGCCAGAGCUCAACGAGGGAGAGGAUGUUAGUGUCGGCAACGCGCAUGUAAUUCCUCUGGAGUUGCAGGCGUCCAUAGGCUACGGUGACUGCUUGCCAUCAGGCGGGCCGUAUGCUUGUUUGCCACCGACGUAGUAUAAAAAAAUAACACCAAAACUUGUCACUACGCAUUUUGUACUGAUUAUUAUCAAAAUAUAUUGAGACAUUAAGUAGUAUGAUAGGCAAUUUAUAAUAAUUAUUAUAACAUAACAAAAGUAUAUCCGACCCGGGUAUGUCCUUAAACUACGUCCAAAAGAGAGGUAUGGGCACUGUGAAUAACAUCUCGCUUUGUGUGGUAGGGCACAGGACAGCGGAUGUCAUUCCAGAUCUAGAGCAGAGCCCAACUGGGGAGGUACCUCCACCUUACAGAAAACCGCAGCCAAAUAACACUAGACCCUACUAAUAGUGUUGUGUUCCUGCCGGUGAGUAAGGUUGCCAGAGCUCGAGGGAGAGGAGUGUUAGGGUCGGCAACGCGCAUGUAACUCCUCUGGAGUUGCAGGCGUACAUAGGCUAUGGAGACUGCUUAACAUCAGGCGGGCCGUAUGCUUGUUUGCCACCGACGUAGUAUAAAAAAAAGUCAAUGUAAUAUCGCACAUAUUUGGCACUAGUUGUAGUUCAUUUUGAUCUUAAAUUGUACAUUGUAUUUUUUAACCUAUGUUGACAGUGUAUAUGAUCAGUAAAUUCAGUACCUAUAAAUAAAUCUAUAUGUUUCGCUAUAUUUAUAAUUCUAUAUCCUCCUAUUGUCAGUAGGCAGGAGGGUUGUUAUCUAAAAGGUAUGCUAUCAGUGCCGGAUAAACCAGUGAUCAAAUAAAGCAGUUGCUUGGGGCUUUAUGUAUAGAAGGCACCAACAUUUCAGGGAAUUGGAGAGAGGAGCAAACUGUGGUGCGCAGAUGAUUAGAACUUAUCAUCUUCCUCGCGUUAUCCCGCCAUUUUGCCACGGCUCAUGGGAGCCUGGGGUCCGCUUGACAACUAAUCCUAAGAAUUGACGUAGGCACUAGUUUUUACGAAAGCGACUGCCAUCUGACCUUCCAACCCAGAGGGGGAACUAGGCCUUGUUAGGAUUAGUCCGGUUUACUCCCGAUGUGUUCCUUCAGCGAAAAGCGACUGGUAAAUAUCAAAUGAUAUUUCGUACAUAAGUUCUGAAAAACUCAUUGGUACGAGCCGGGGUUUGAACCCGCGACCUCCGGAUUGAAAGUGCAGAUG
This is a long non-coding RNA of Cydia strobilella, 1453 nucleotides long. RefSeq lists it as uncharacterized. The transcript is spliced from 3 exons. The record is from RefSeq and is a predicted model, not a curated record. NCBI's taxonomy places the organism in Eukaryota, Metazoa, Arthropoda, Insecta, Lepidoptera, Tortricidae.